AUGGCCAGAAGUGGCGCUGUGGCUCAAGUGGCUAAGUGCUAGCCUUGAGCAAAAAGAAGCCAGGGACAGUGCUCAGGCCCUGACCUCAAGCCCCAGAACUGGCCAAAAAAAAAAAAAAAAAGGCAAAAUGAUACAAAUUCUUAAAUCAAAUCUGGUUGUAAAACUUUAUCAACCUUUUGAAUAUUUAGACUUUAAAGGAGUAUCUAAAUAGUAAUUCCUUGAACCUCUGCAACUCAA
Molecule: long non-coding RNA, 237 nt
Organism: Perognathus longimembris pacificus (Pacific pocket mouse)
Lineage: Eukaryota; Metazoa; Chordata; Mammalia; Rodentia; Heteromyidae
Exons: 2
Source: RefSeq, a predicted model, not a curated record